Molecule: ribosomal RNA, 301 nt
Filed under: uncultured bacterium
Lineage: Bacteria
Description: partial 16S ribosomal RNA
Rfam family: Bacterial small subunit ribosomal RNA
Source: RNAcentral
CAGUAGCCGCGGGAAUACGAAGGGGGCUAGCGUUGCUCGGAAUGACUGGGCGUAAAGAGCUCGUAGGCGGCUUGUUGCGUCGGUUGUGAAAGCCCGGGGCUUAACCCCAGGUUUGCAGUCGAUACGGGCAGGCUAGAGUGUGGUAGGGGAGAUCGGAAUUCCUGGUGUAGCGGUGAAAUGCGCAGAUAUCAGUAGGAACACCGGUGGCGAAGGCGGAUCUCUGGGCCAUUACUGACGCUGAGGAGCGAAAGCGUGGGGAGCGAACAGGAUUAGAUACCCCCGUAGUCCCUGUCUCUUAUAA